Molecule: ribosomal RNA, 443 nt
Filed under: uncultured Alphaproteobacteria bacterium
Lineage: Bacteria; Pseudomonadati; Pseudomonadota; Alphaproteobacteria
Description: bacterial SSU rRNA
Rfam family: Bacterial small subunit ribosomal RNA
Source: RNAcentral
AACGAACGCUGGCGGCAGGCCUAACACAUGCAAGUCGCAGGGGAAGCUUGACUUCGGUUGAGUGGAGACUGGCGCACGGGUGAGUAACGCGUGGGAAUCUACCCCGGGGUGGGGGAUAACCGCUGGAAACGGCGGCUAAUACCGCAUACGCCUUGAGAGGGAAAGCUUUAGUGCCCUGGGAGGAGCCCGCGUCCGAUUAGCUAGUUGGUGAGGUAACGGCUUACCAAGGCUUCGAUCGGUAGCUGGUCUGAGAGGAUGAUCAGCCACACUGGGACUGAGACACGGCCCAGACUCCUACGGGAGGCAGCAGUGGGGAAUAUUGGACAAUGGGGGCAACCCUGAUCCAGCCAUGCCGCGUGAGUGAAGAAGGCCUUAGGGUUGUAAAGCUCUUUCACCCGUGAAGAUGAUGACGGUAGCGGGAGAAGAAGCCCCGGCUAACUCCG